RNAcentral lists this ribosomal RNA (163 nucleotides) under Acinetobacter baumannii. RNAcentral describes it as "partial 16S ribosomal RNA". It matches the Rfam family "Bacterial small subunit ribosomal RNA", at positions 1372 to 1533 of the family's 1533-position model. RNAcentral also lists the same sequence under 3 other names. The record is from RNAcentral. Lineage: Bacteria; Pseudomonadati; Pseudomonadota; Gammaproteobacteria; Moraxellales; Moraxellaceae.
UCCCGGGCCUUGUACACACCGCCCGUCACACCACGAGAGUUUGUAACACCCGAAGUCGGUGGGGUAACCUUUUUGGAGCCAGCCGCCUAAGGUGGGACAGAUGAUUGGGGUGAAGUCGUAACAAGGUAGCCGUAUCGGAAGGUGCGGCUGGAUCACCUCCUUU